GACGAACGCUGGCGGCGUGCUUAACACAUGCAAGUCGAACGGAAAGGCCCUGCUUUUGUGGGGUGCUCGAGUGGCGAACGGGUGAGUAACACGUGAGUAACCUGCCCUUGACUUUGGGAUAACUUCAGGAAACUGUGGCUAAUACCGGAUAGGAGCUCCUGCUGCAUGGUGGGGGUUGGAAAGUUUCGGCGGUUGGGGAUGGACUCGCGGCUUAUCAGCUUGUUGGUGGGGUAGUGGCUUACCAAGGCUUUGACGGGUAGCCGGCCUGAGAUGGUGACCGGGCACAUUAGGACUGAGAUACGGCCAAGAAUCCUACGGGAGGCAGCAGUGGGGAAUAUUACACAAUGGGCGGAAGCAUGAUGAAGCAACGCGGCGUGAGGGAUGACGGCCUUAGGGUUGUAAACCGCUUUCGCCUGUGACGAAGCGUGAGUGACGGUAAUGGGUAAGGAAGCACCGGCUAACUACGUG
This 468-nucleotide ribosomal RNA is filed under the name uncultured bacterium. RNAcentral describes it as "partial 16S ribosomal RNA". It matches the Rfam family "Bacterial small subunit ribosomal RNA", at positions 28 to 507 of the family's 1533-position model. The record is from RNAcentral.